AUUGAACGCUGGCGGCAUGCUUUACACAUGCAAGUCGGACGGCAGCACAGAGACGCUUGCUUCUUGGGUGGCGAGUGGCGAACGGGUGAGUAAUAUAUCGGAACGUACCGAGUAAUGGGGGAUAACUAAUCGAAAGAUUAGCUAAUACCGCAUAUUCUCUGAGGAGGAAAGCAGGGGACCUUCGGGCCUUGCGUUAUUCGAGCGGCCGUUAUCUGAUUAGCUAGUUGGUGGGGUAAAGGCCUACCAAGGCGACGAUCAGUAGCGGGUCUGAAAGGAUGAUCCGCCACACUGGGACUGAGACACGGCCCAGACUCCUACGGGAGGCAGCAGUGGGGAAUUUUGGACAAUGGGCGCAAGCCUGAUCCAGCCAUGCCGCGUGUCUGAAGAAGGCCUUCGGGUUGUAAAGGACUUUUGUCAGGGAAGAAAAGGCUGUUGCUAAUACCGACAGCUGAUGACGGUACCUGAAGAAUAAGCACCGGCUAACUACGUG
Molecule: ribosomal RNA, 490 nt
Filed under: uncultured bacterium
Lineage: Bacteria
Description: partial 16S ribosomal RNA
Rfam family: Bacterial small subunit ribosomal RNA
Source: RNAcentral